RNAcentral lists this long non-coding RNA (216 nucleotides) under Ananas comosus (pineapple). RNAcentral describes it as "long non-coding RNA (ACOM_LNC008291)". The record is from RNAcentral. Lineage: Eukaryota; Viridiplantae; Streptophyta; Magnoliopsida; Poales; Bromeliaceae.
CAUUUUGAUUAUUAAACUUUAUUGUAUUAUAAUUUUUAAUUUGAAUUUUCUGAAUUACUAUAAUCAAGUCUCACAAUCUAACUUAGUUAGGCUAAAUAUUGAUAAAUUGUUGGGAUAAAUAUAAUGUAACAUCUUAAUUAUUAUCGCAGCAUCAUUUAUAAUAUUUUUACAUACCUUCUACAUCAAUAAUUUAUAAAUAUUUAAUCAAUUUAAUUA